GGGGGGGGCCUCUCGUGCCAGGUCGGACGGUAGCACAGGAAGACCUGGCUCUUCGGGUGACGAGUGGCGGACGGGUGAGUAAUGUCUGGGAAACUGCCCGAUGGAGGGGGAUAACUACUGGAAACGGUACCUAAUACCGCAAAACGUCUCACGACCAAGGUGGGGGACCUUCGGGCCUCUCACCAUCGGAUGUGCCCAGAUGGGAUUAGCUAGUAGGUGGGGUAACGGCUCACCUAGGCGACGAUCCCUAGCUGGUCUGAGAGGAUGACCAGCCACACUGGAACUGAGACACGGUCCAGACUCCUACGGGAGGCAGCAGUGGGGAAUAUUGCACAAUGGGCGCAAGCCUGAUGCAGCCAUGCCGCGUGUAUGAAGAAGGCCUUCGGGUUGUAAAGUACUUUCAGCGGGGAGGAAGGCGGUAGGUUAAUAACCUUGCCUAUUGACGUUACCCGCAGAACAAGCACCGGCUAACUCCGUGCCAGCAGCCGCGGUAAUACGGAGGGUGCAAGCGUUAAUCGGAAUUACUGGGCGUAAAGCGCACGCAGGCGGUCUGUUAAGUCAGAUGUGAAAUCCCCGGGCUUAACCUGGGAACUGCAUUUGAAACUGGCAGGCUUGAGUCUCGUAGAGGGGGGUAGAAUUCCAGGUGUAGCGGUGAAAUGCGUAGAGAUCUGGAGGAAUACCGGUGGCGAAGGCGGCCCCCUGGACUAAUACUGACGCUCAGGUGCUAAAGCGUGGGGAGCAAACAGGAUUACAUACCUUGG
RNAcentral lists this ribosomal RNA (761 nucleotides) under Pantoea ananatis. Its description in RNAcentral is "bacterial SSU rRNA". It matches the Rfam family "Bacterial small subunit ribosomal RNA", at positions 39 to 790 of the family's 1533-position model. Lineage: Bacteria; Pseudomonadati; Pseudomonadota; Gammaproteobacteria; Enterobacterales; Erwiniaceae. The record is from RNAcentral.